Molecule: long non-coding RNA, 196 nt
Organism: Bubalus bubalis (water buffalo)
Lineage: Eukaryota; Metazoa; Chordata; Mammalia; Artiodactyla; Bovidae
Exons: 2
Source: RefSeq, a predicted model, not a curated record
UUCAGUCUCCAUAGAGGCAGAUGGCAAAUGCCUUUGUUGUUCAGUCGUUGGCAAUAUUCUUGAGUUCAUUGAAUCUGAGACCCAGCCAUAAUAUGCAGAAGCAAUUGCUAUUGUGUUCUCCCAUUAAUACAAGCAUAUGUUAUUUUCCUCUGUUCCAAUUCUUAAAAUAGAAUUUGCAUUAAUAAAAUCUCCAAAA